CAACGUUCCAUUGAGCCGAGCGCGUGCUCGGGCGAGCACAUGGGCAGCGGGGCCCGCGCCGCUCCGCGCCCGCCACUCCGCUCCGCUCCGCUCCGCGCCCGGCCCCGGCCGCGGCCCGCCCGACCCCUGCCGCAGCGGGGCCGCGGUGCCCAGUCCAUGUGUCCCACUUGUCUGGAAGAACGUUUGGAGUCUGGCAGUCUGGUUGUUUUCGUAGCUCCAGAGGAUUUUUAGGAGCAUGGGGAGCAUGGGAUGCAUCAACCUGUGGACCACAAAACCCUCUGGAGAAUGUUGGCUGUGGAUAAAAGCAUCUGGAAGUUUCUACCAUCUUUUUACCCUGUUUUUUCCCGGGUUACCCUGUGUCAUUUGUGGCCCUGUCCUGAGGAUUAUGGCAAACAGUCACUUACUGGAAUUCCUCCUCAUGUAUCUUCUUGAAAUGGAGCCACUGCUUUACCCAGCUGGAAGAUAUUUUCUCCCAGAGCUCUUCCAGUGCAGCAGCAGCACUCCUGUCCAGCAGCAUCCCGGGUCUUUUUGUACCAGGAUGAUUGGUGUGCCCUGUCCUUGUUGUCAACUGCUUUGCCAGGAAGAUUAAUGGCAGACGAGAAAAUGUGAGGUGUAUCCAGUGUUUGGAUGGUGAAACUCAAUGAGCUGCAGUUUGGCUUGGAUUACAGUAUUUCAGAAGACUUUCUGAACUUGCCAGGCAACCCUUCCCCUAGACUUUGGGGACAGAGAAGCUUAAAUUUAUAUUUCCAGUGUCACACAAGGAGAUAGAAUGCUUUACAAUGCUGUGUUGCUCUUUGGAAGGAGUACUCAAAAGGAGAAAAGCCUUGCAUAUACAUCUUGGUUUAGAGACAGAUUUUACCUGGGAGUAGUGUGGAUACUAGAAGAAGAGGAGGUGAUGAUACAAGCCAGCUUCCUGACCUCCAGAGUGGGACUGAAGCUUUUUAACAAGAUUUAUCUGGAAAGUAUGACUGACAGGAGCAGCUUACUCACCAUUAGAUAAGUAUUGCAGAUGACUCAUGCUGGAGUAUUGAUAGCUGCUGCUGAGAUGGAUGUCCUGUUUUAUAACAGCUGUAGUGUGAUGCCAAGAGCCAGGAACCUUAAUUUCACUAUCCAUGCUUUUCCAUGAGUGUGCUUUGGGUCUCUGGCACCUUUUCUCCUUGGUUUGUCCAUCUAAAGGGUUCACAGGGAGGGGAGGUUUUGCUUCCCUCAGUGGGGUGCAGGGUAUGGGGCAGCUCAUGCCACCUUGAAAUGAAAGCUAGUGUUGAAAGGCUGCAGCUUUUAUAGCUGUUCUCCAGGACAUGCAAUAUUUGUCUUUUUAAUAGAUGCCAUUAGUGACUUUCCUCGAUUCUUUGCGGUUUUUUUUGUUUUGUUUGUGUUUUUUCAGAGCCAUUAUACCCCUUCUUCAGCAGAACUAACCAGAAGGUGUAGAAACAGAUUUUCUAAGUAUGGAAGCUCUCCUGAGGAGCUGCAUUAUUCGCUGCUGCCCCUGGGAUGGGACACAGAGCAAGGAGUGAAGAAGAGCUGCGAUGUGCCACUGCUUUUGUGAGGAGAGGGGCUUUCUGGCACGUCAUAUGGUGCCAAAAGACAUUCUACUCUUGGCAGCAAAAAUCCUUAUCCUUCUUGGUUUUUUUUUUUCCAGGACAGAUGCUAUUUCCUGUUAGAGAUGCUUUGUAUGCAAAUCAAGGUGGUACAACAAGAAAAAAGUCCUGAAAGCAAUCACACCGAUAAACUCAGCCCACUGGGGAAUUCCUACUUAUCAUUUAUCUUUUGUUUUUUCAGUUCUGUACAAGAUACUUCUUUGCCUGUGCUUUCUUACAGUCUUUAAUGUUUGUCCUGCCAGACCUCUUGCUUAUGAACUAUAGUGCUUGUGCUGGGCUCCAUGCAUUUUGCAGGGCUGCACAAAUAAAAGGCAGUAAGUGCUGGAAAUUGGGGUUAACAGUCCCUGUGUUUCAGCUUGAUCUUGCAUUGAUCUGGUGCUUUCUUAAAUUCAAGGAAGACAUGAGUCUCACACAACAGAUUGCCACAUGACUAUAGUGAUGAUCUACUGGAAAGGUGAUCCCAAAAACCUCAGGAAUGAAAAAAAAGAGAGAGAUAAAAAGCAAAAAGAAGACAGCAAAAAGUUUACCUAGUAACUUAAAACAGGAGCAGUAUUUGACUUGAGGCACCUCAAGAGAUGGUGUGGGCAGCACUGCACUAAUGCAGUAACACGAGUUGGUCACCUCAUUGGUCCAGCAGAGCAAACUCACAUACAAUCACAGAUUGGUUUGGGUGGGAAGGGACUGUAAAAAUCGUCUAGUUGAACUCCUGUGCCAUGGGCAGGGAGAUCUUCUAUCAGACCGGGUUGCUCAGGGACCCUUCCAACCUGGCCUUCAACACUUCCAGGGGUUGGGCAUCCACAACUUCCCUGGGCAUCUUGUGCCCUACAGGUGUCCCUAUAAGUGGAAGGGGCUGAUCAAAACCUGCAAAACCAGGCUGCCACCCUGCUGAUGUUACAACAGGCUGUGAGGGUGAAAAAAAGGCUCAGAAACAGAAAAGGAUGUGUCAGAGAGCUGCAGAACGGCAUUGCCAAAGAACAUUCUUGUGCGUGUCCAGAGAUAGCCACUGCAGCCCAGGUCCUGUUGAAUCAUGCUGUGGUUGUUCUGGCCUUUGUGUGGGUGACAGUGAUAAUCAUUGUGUGUGGUGUUGGGUUUUUAUUAUUUCUUUUUUUUUCCCUUAAAUGUAAAAUUAACAGUCAAAUUAGCAUUGGUGAGGCAGCAAGCCUGGUGCAGCUUUUAUCUAUCCUGAACCUCAGAACAAAGGAGGGGAGGAAAAUGGCUUGGCCAGUUUGGCAGCCGUGCACGUAACGGUCCCAGAGUUCAAAGCAAAGGGCACAACAGUCAGAUACCCCAGCCCUCCUGGGCUUUGGCUGAUAAGUCACAUUUCAAAGUAAAAGGCAAUCCUACAGGGGCUCUGCCGAGUGCCUAAAGCUCCAGUGCUGAGUCUUCUUUAAAAGGGGAUUUCAUAAGGAGUAAUAUGAACAGAAAUGGCUCUUUUGUGGUUUUGCACAUUCCAGGCAUGCCAGGACUGUUCCUGUCAAGGAUGGGCAAUCUCUGGGGUUUUAGGUUCUUUUUAUUUUUUUUUCCCCAAAUAUUUGCCACAAGCUAGCAGCUGAAAUGGUGAAAAAUAAAUAAGAGUUGCAAAAUCAUUACAGUAGCAGUAAUGGAAACUGUGAGGCUUAUACUUAAAUUGGCUGGUGGGUUUCACUCCAUCUUCUGCACUGUUGCACUGUGAGGAUUAGUACUUUUACCUGCUCUGACUACUUCAGGGUGGAUGAUUUGAAAGCAGAGCUUUAACUGCUUGUUACCCAGGACCUCAAAAAACAGUGCUUUUGGCUUUUUCAGAAGCAAUACCUUUUCAGGUAAACCACUGUUAAGUCUGAAUUCUUUCAAUGUCCAUGCAAUUAUGUGACCAUACAGCAUCUUUAUGUGAUGAUUUCUGCAGGUCUGUGUGUACAGAAAUGGGGCCCAGCUGUGCCUGCUUCAGCUGCACUUUUGUUUCACAGAGGUUGUACAGGCUUGGAUUGUACCCAUUAACACAGAAUUUUAAUUGAUGUAAGAGUUUCAAUGCACAAAGUUGUGGUGCCUGAAAUCUUAAAGGAGAGCACCUUUGCUCUGCCUUAAAACAGUCUGAAGUUUCAUGUGCAGUAAAACACUAGAAGGUUUGUGUAGACCUGCCCUUUAGAUGAGGGUAUAAUUCAUAAGCCUGCUUGUCCUGUUCUUCCCCACAUGGCUCCUGCUCCUGUUGCCUUGACCUGUGUCUGGUGUAGUAGCAGGACCUCAUGCACAGCUGGGAAAGCCAGGGCCGAGAUGUUACUGCUGUCUGCUCACGAAUGUAUGGCUGUAUCAAUGUGCCACUAAGUGUGUGCCUCAGCCCCCCUACACAAACACUCAGUACCUUUAUUAGCAGCACACUGACCACAGCCAGCUCAGCACCUUCAUGAGCUGGAACUGCACCUUUACCUGCUGUCCAGGUGAGACUAAUCUUUCUAUGGAAGGAGUAGAAAAUGGAGCCAGGCUCAUCCCAGCAGAGUCUGAACCACAUAGAGACCAUCCUGAGAAUUUGUUUUCAGCCCAAGUUUGACUGGGGCACAAAUGCAGACAGAGAGUGAGAAAGCAUCUCUUUGGAAGUGGCAAUAAAAGAGACACUGUUGGAAUGAACUUUCUGGCCUGGUUUUAUUAAAUGUGAAUAUGGUUACUUAGUGGUGAGCAGGAACUGGAGUGAAUUUAGGGGAUGGUUCCUGAAGCCCCCUCCCAUUCUCCAACACCAAGCUGAUGUUACAGGGAAGUCUCAAGGCUGUUGCCUGGGCUGUUUUGGGUCUGUGGGUGGAGGAACUUAAUCACCAGGGUUGCCAUCAAAUGCUGCACUUACAAGAUUCAAGGAAGAAGUGCUUGUGUUAAUUCUGUGCUCAACAUACAUAUUUUUCAUCUUAGACAAGUCUGGUCUUCCAGCCUUCUGGACUCCUGCCAUUUUGGGUUUGGGAAAAAAAAAAAUUUUUCUUUCUCCAUCAGUGUUACCAACCACAGAAUUUUGGAAACAAAAAGUCAGAAUGGGGUGUUCAGUGGUGAGCUGUCUUUUUACUAGGCUGAUCCUUCAGGAGUUGUUUUUGAAGUGGAUUUUGUUCUGUCCACUCAAGGUCUCUGCUGUGGAAAUAUUUAUUGCUGGGAAACUGUAGCAAGCUUUAUAAGUGGCAGGAAAAACUACUUUUGUAACCAAAUAAGUGUGCUUUCCCUACAAGUCACACAGGUGUACAUUUGGAAUUUUUUUGUUUUGUUUUGUACCAAAACAGUUUUUCCACUUUGUUAUCUGGAGUGGGAAAAUGAGUGGACCUUGCACUUUAUUAUAGAUUCCAUCCAUUUAAUCACAGCAGAAGUGUACAUAGAGAUUCUCUCUUUUUUUUUUUUCUUUUUCUGUGUAUUUACUUAGUGUUUUGUGCCUUAGAAUCUCUGUUUUCCUUCUUUUUGAUGGUUUGAGAGUUUUGAUAGAGACAGCAAAAGUGCUUAGAAGUAUUAAUGUCCCUGGGAAGGCUACAAAAGUUAUGCAGUGGUGAAGAGAUGCAACCUGUAGAAGAGCCAGAAUUUGACAGCAUGGGAAGUGGUUAGCGCCUCAUUGGACAUCCUCACAUCAAAGCUGGACAGUGGGCUCUUGAGAUACUCUGUUUGAACCACAAAUUGCUGGGCUUUGGGCAGAAAUCACUGUGUGAAAUUCUGUGGUCUUUAUUAGGCAGGCGGACAGACAAAAUAAUUUUGCUGGUUUCUCUUGGCUCUUAGAAUUUAUGAAUCACAUAGUCAGGGUGUUCUGGGGGGGGACUUGAGUUUCCAUGAAAAGUUUGCUGUGGCAGCAUGCAGAAAACAAAACCCAUCUGUUCUCUUGUCCUUUCAUCAUGCUGUGUUGCUUUCGAAUUGUUCCAGAAGGAGGAUGAAAUUGGGCUUGUUAUUUAAAUUUCAGUAUGGGUGGCCAAAGCAACUCUGCCUUGGUUAUUAUGGGCCUCCUGUGACCACAGGAAUGGAUGGUGCCUUAUGCCAGUUCCUGAUUUAACAAACACCUGAGGACCGACUCAGCACUGCAGCAUAGCCCAUGGGAAUUGUGUGCCAUGGGAUCCUGCAGCAAGGCAGUGUCUGGGAAUAUCUCCUCACACUCUUUAGUAGUAAGGAUAUAAUCAGCCCUUGUAGGCUGGUAUCUAAUUAAAUAACACAGUGUGGAAAAAAAAAACAAAACACACUCAUUUAUGGCAGUUGAAUGUGUGUAGUUGGAGCAGAGGAUUCAGGUUCUGUCUGGAGUUGCGUGAGCCCAUCUGGGGAGCAGUGUCAGGGAGAGAGUCCAUGAGAUCCUCGUGUGUGAUCACAUGAGAGUGAGCUCGUGAUGGAGCUGUGAGACAGAAAGGAACCCUGCAACUCUGGAGAGCAAGUAGGAGCAGCGAUGUGACUCCUGGCUUUGUCCUUUUAAAGGGUGACACGCUGCCUGGUGUCUGUACUUGAAGAAGGGAGGGGAAGUGCCAAGAAGAAUUAAUGGAAAGCCACAGAUUACUUGGGUUUGCUUUGACUCUAGGCAUGAGGAGUGCAAUUUAGUUAAUUGGGAUGAAGGCUGGCAAGGGGGUGACUUGACUGCCACAUCUAGAGGAAGAAAGGUUUGAUCAGCAGGUUUGGGGUAAGGAGGAACCCUUAAAAUUUCUAUGUCCUUUUCCAGAUUUUAGAGGAUAUCUCUCUAGAACUGAAUGUUCAGUUUAAAAUAUUGGGCUUAUUAUGUAGAGGUCUUGGGUGAAAGGGACUGAUACGCAGUGUAGUGAAGUCAGGAUGGAUUAUUUGGGUCUUUCUGCCUUUAUGCUCAGAGCUCUGGUACUCCCCAGCACCUUCUUCCCUCCAAGAAGGGGGAAGCACCUUCUUCUACCCCUCCCUGGGAUAGGGAGGUUCUGCCACAACACUGGGCAUAGCGUAAACUGUCAGGACAAAAUGCUUUGGAGCCAUCUCAUCUUAAGACAGGUGUCUAAGAUAACUGGCUUUCCCUCUGGUAGUGGCUGUUGUCCUGCAGCAGCUUUGUGGAAGACCAGAAAUCUGGCUGAGAUUGGGACUCCUGUGCUUUGGAUGUCUGAAGCUGUGUGAGGUGAACACCCCUCUCACUGCCUGUGUGCAUGAUGAGGAGUUAGUGGAAUAAAGAACCCAACAAAGAACCGUCUGACACUACCUGAGAUGAAAAUAAUAUGGAAAAUUUAAUCAGCUCUCUGCAGCUGAGCAGUCCCUGGAGGUGCUGUACCAAACCUGACCCACUUGCUGAACCCCAGCAGUGCAGCACUGGGCACUCCUCUGCCUGCCUUCAGAAGAAUGAAAGGACAGCAGUAUGAAAAGAGACAAGUCCAGGGGACAGCAAUCAAUGUAAGUCUUUCUAAGAAACAACUGGGUUUUUUUUUGGUUUUUUUUUUUUGUUUUUGUUUUUUUUUGUUUGGUUUUUUUUUUAUUAAAAGCAAACCCACCUUCUGCAUCAUUUCUCUUUCUGAGGAGCUCAGAAAGGAGGGAAGUGUUGGAAGAGGUUUGUUUUCAACCUGACUGAAUGUUUUCCCAGUUCUUCCCCUGCACUCCAGCUCAUCCCAUCCCAGUCUUUUCAGCCAUGCUAUGUUGGGAAGCAGCUGUGAGCUCAUCCUCAGGGCUGAGUUCUAGCGUGGUAACUGUCCUAGGGUAGACUGCAGGGAUGGAGGGAGGGCUCUUGCCACUGGCAAGGAGCAGCAUGACUCUUUUGCCAGUUGUCCCAGUUUGCUGUCAGGAUGACCUCCCAUGAUGGCUCAUCAUGAGCCCAGCCUCCCAUCUCUAAGCUCCCCAGAGAUGUUACCACUUGGCCAUGGCUUCAAAUUAGGGCAUCUGAGUGGGUAAACUGCAGUGGGUAAAAAUCAAAUCCAAAACUUCUGGACAUAGAGAGGAUGAUAGCAGUGGACUAUCAGUAGCAAACUGUAAUCCACAUUCCCUUUCCAGGUAGAUGUUGCUGAGAAGAUGAUUCCCCUGUGCUCCUCAGAUGAGCACCAAGCUUUCCCCUUCCUGUGUGUGCCCAUCCUGCUGGCUGCAGCCCUUGCUGGACCCUGGGAGCAUGCAAGGCUCUGGCUCUUUGAAUAGCUGUCCAGAACAGUGAGGAAGAACUGCCUCCUCCCUGGACACAAACCACAAUGAUUUGCUGGUGUUAUUUCUUGGUUUUUGUUUUUUUUUUUUUUUGGCUGUCUGAUUACUAAGUACAAACCUCUUUCACCUAUUUGACAUUAAUUCACUAAUGGAUGGCAGAAGGUUUCAUGUUUGGUUUUUAGCUGAAAAAGUGAUGAUGCAAUUGUAAACCUCACAUCCAUUAUGUAUCUUUGAACUAUGUGAAAAGUGUGAAUUUUUACAGAAAAUGUGAGAGUGGUGGGGGUUGUGGAAUAAACUUUUUUGCUUGAAUUUUAUUUUAAGUCUUGAAUGAAUGAGAUGUAUUUCACGGGACUGAGAAAGCUGUGAUUUUUCCCUUUCCUUCAGUGUUGGGCUUUUUUGUUGUUGUUUUUGUUUUUGGGUUUUUUUGGGAGGGUUAUUAUUGUUGUUGUUUAACUUUUUUUGUAAUCAAAGUAUUUACUCCCCAAGUUAAAUGGCUUCUCACAAACAAGUUAAUGUCAAAAGAAAAGUGAGGAUGAGGAGAGGGCAGACAUUGGGUUUUAGCUAUCUCUGUUUUUUUCCUUUUAAGCUUCAGCAAAAUGGCAAUUGUUUCAUUUUGACCCACUUUCAAAUCACAUUAGCAAAUGAAUACAGAAUGGGAAGGACAAUCACGU
Molecule: long non-coding RNA, 8308 nt
Organism: Serinus canaria (Common canary)
Lineage: Eukaryota; Metazoa; Chordata; Aves; Passeriformes; Fringillidae
Exons: 6
Source: RefSeq, a predicted model, not a curated record